This 628-nucleotide ribosomal RNA is filed under the name uncultured Russulaceae. RNAcentral's name for it is "LSU rRNA". It matches the Rfam family "Eukaryotic large subunit ribosomal RNA", at positions 47 to 649 of the family's 3401-position model. The record is from RNAcentral. Lineage: Eukaryota; Fungi; Basidiomycota; Agaricomycetes; Russulales; Russulaceae.
UAAGGCGAGGAACAGAAACCAACAGGGAUUCCCCUAGUAACUGCGAGUGAAGCGGGAAAAGCUCAAAUUUAAAAUCUGGUGGUCUUUGGCCGUCCGAGUUGUAAUUUAGAGAAGCGUCUUCCGCGCUGGACCGUGCACAAGUCUCCUGGAACGGAGCGUCGUAGAGGGUGAGAAUCCCGUCUUUGGCAUGGACACACCAGGGCUUUUGCGAUGCGCUCUCGAAGAGUCGAGUUGUUUGGGAAUGCAGCUCAAAAUGGGUGGUGAACUCCAUCUAAAGCUAAAUAUUGGCGAGAGACCGAUAGCGAACAAGUACCGUGAGGGAAAGAUGAAAAGCACUUUGGAAAGAGAGUGAAACAGUACGUGAAAUUGUUGAAAGGGAAACGCUUGAAGUCAGUCGCGUCGUCCGAGACUCAGCCUCGCCUCGGCUUGGCGUACUUCUCGGCCCGACGGGUCAGCAUCAAUUUCGCCUCUCGGAUAAUGGCGAGGGAAAAGUGACACCUUUACGGUGUGUUAUAGUCUCUCGUCGCAUGCGAGGGUCGGGAUUGAGGAACUCAGCGCGCCUUCAUUGGUCGGGGUAUCUACCCACGUUAACGUGCUUAGGAUGCUGGCAUAAUGGCUUUAAGCGACC